This is a long non-coding RNA of Alnus glutinosa, 339 nucleotides long. RefSeq lists it as uncharacterized. NCBI's taxonomy places the organism in Eukaryota, Viridiplantae, Streptophyta, Magnoliopsida, Fagales, Betulaceae. The record is from RefSeq and is a predicted model, not a curated record. The transcript has 3 exons.
AUAGGUCAUCAAGGGAUGGGACCAAGGCAUUCUAGGAGGUGAUGGAAUCCCCCCAAUGCUUGCUGGGGGAAAACGCACACUAAAGCUUCCUCCAGAACUUGCAUACGGCAUCAGAGGGGCUGGGUGCAAAGGAGGUUCUUGUAUUAUUCCUCCAGAUUCGGUUCUUCUGUUUGAUGUAGAGUUCAUUGGCAAGGCAUGAGCACUGAGAAGUAGUACGUACCCACAUAGAAACAGACUCAAACAGUGCAUCUCAAUCAAUCAGUUUUUGGGGUUUUCGAUCUCUAUUUGUAAUGUUGAAGAGAAGAAAGCAUUUGUCAAUUAGAGACCUUAAUUAUGUCA